RNAcentral lists this ribosomal RNA (253 nucleotides) under uncultured bacterium. RNAcentral describes it as "partial 16S ribosomal RNA". It matches the Rfam family "Bacterial small subunit ribosomal RNA", at positions 524 to 776 of the family's 1533-position model. The record is from RNAcentral.
UACGAACCGUGCGAACGUUGUUCGGAAUUACUGGGCGUAAAGGGCGCGUAGGCGGCCUACUAAGUCGGACGUGAAAUCCCUCGGCUCAACCGGGGAACUGCGUCCGAUACUGGUGGGCUCGAAUCCGGGAGAGGGAUGUGGAAUUCCAGGUGUAGCGGUGAAAUGCGUAGAUAUCUGGAGGAACACCGGUGGCGAAGGCGGCAUCCUGGACCGGUAUUGACGCUGAUGCGCGAAAGCCAGGGGAGCAAACGGG